UUGCAAUGAUGACAAUCUUAGGACACCUUUGGAAUAACCAUGAAAACAACUAAGUUCUGAGCAAC
Molecule: small nucleolar RNA, 65 nt
Organism: Pseudophryne corroboree (corroboree frog)
Lineage: Eukaryota; Metazoa; Chordata; Amphibia; Anura; Myobatrachidae
Product: small nucleolar RNA SNORD58
Exons: 1
Source: RefSeq, a predicted model, not a curated record